This 1078-nucleotide unclassified non-coding RNA is filed under the name leaf metagenome. Its description in RNAcentral is "partial contains internal transcribed spacer 1, 5.8S ribosomal RNA, internal transcribed spacer 2, and large subunit ribosomal RNA". The stretch from base 493 to 1078 matches the Rfam family "Eukaryotic large subunit ribosomal RNA", at positions 1 to 598 of the family's 3401-position model. The record is from RNAcentral.
AUUACUGAGUUUACGCUCUAUAACCCUUUGUGAACAUACCUAUCACUGUUGCUUCGGCGGGUAGGGUCUCCGCGACCCUCCCGGCCUCCCGCCUCCGGGCGGGUCGGCGCCCGCCGGAGGAUAACCAAACUCUGAUUUAACGACGUUUCUUCUGAGUGGUACAAGCAAAUAAUCAAAACUUUUAACAACGGAUCUCUUGGUUCUGGCAUCGAUGAAGAACGCAGCGAAAUGCGAUAAGUAAUGUGAAUUGCAGAAUUCAGUGAAUCAUCGAAUCUUUGAACGCACAUUGCGCCCGCCAGCAUUCUGGCGGGCAUGCCUGUUCGAGCGUCAUUUCAACCCUCAAGCUCUGCUUGGUGUUGGGGCCCUACAGCUGAUGUAGGCCCUCAAAGGUAGUGGCGGACCCUCCCGGAGCCUCCUUUGCGUAGUAACUUUACGUCUCGCACUGGGAUCCGGAGGGACUCUUGCCGUAAAACCCCCCAAUUUUCCAAAGGUUGACCUCGGAUCAGGUAGGAAUACCCGCUGAACUUAAGCAUAUCAAUAAGCGGAGGAAAAGAAACCAACAGGGAUUGCCUCAGUAACGGCGAGUGAAGCGGCAACAGCUCAAAUUUGAAAUCUGGCCCUAGGCCCGAGUUGUAAUUUGCAGAGGAUGCUUUUGGUGCGGUGCCUUCCAAGUUCCCUAGAACGGGACGCCAGAGAGGGUGAGAGCCCCGUACAGUUGGACACCAAGCCUUUGUAAAGCUCCUUCGACGAGUCGAGUAGUUUGGGAAUGCUGCUCAAAAUGGGAGGUAUAUUUCUUCUAAAGCUAAAUACCGGCCAGAGACCGAUAGCGCACAAGUAGAGUGAUCGAAAGAUGAAAAGCACUUUGAAAAGAGGGUUAAACAGCACGUGAAAUUGUUAAAAGGGAAGCGCUUGUGACCAGACUUGCGUCCGGUGAAUCACCCAGCUCUCGCGGCUGGGGCACUUCGCCGGCUCAGGCCAGCAUCAGCUCGCUGUCGGGGACAAAAGCUUCAGGAACGUAGCUCUCUUCGGGGAGUGUUAUAGCCUGUUGCACAAUACCCUUCGGCGGGCUGAGGUACGC